UACGUAGGGUGCAAGCGUUGUCCGGAAUUAUUGGGCGUAAAGAGCUCGUAGGCGGUUUGUCGCGUCUGCUGUGAAAACUCGGGGCUUAACUCCGGGCCUGCAGUGGGUACGGGCAGACUAGAGUGCGGUAGGGGGACCUGGAAUUCCUGGUGUAGCGGUGGAAUGCGCAGAUAUCAGGAGGAACACCGGUGGCGAAGGCGGGGUCCUGGGCCAGUACUGACGCUGAGGAGCGAAAGCGUGGGGAGCAAACAGG
RNAcentral lists this ribosomal RNA (253 nucleotides) under uncultured bacterium. RNAcentral describes it as "partial 16S ribosomal RNA". It matches the Rfam family "Bacterial small subunit ribosomal RNA", at positions 524 to 776 of the family's 1533-position model. The record is from RNAcentral.